UCCAGACCGCCGUGCUCAUCGAGACCCUCACCGCCCUCGGCGCCGAGGUCCGCUGGUGCUCCUGCAACAUCUUCUCCACCCAGGACCACGCCGCCGCCGCCAUCGCCCGCGACUCGGCCGCCGUCUUCGCCUGGAAGGGCGAGACCCUCGAGGAGUACUGGUGGUGCACCGAGCGCUGCCUCGACUGGGGCGCCGGCGGCGGCCCCGACCUCAUCGUCGACGACGGCGGCGACGCCACGCUGCUCAUCCACGAGGGCGUCAAGGCCGAGGAGGAGUUCGAGAAGUCCGGCAAGGUCCCCGACCCGGAGUCCACCGACAACCCCGAGUUCAAGAUCGUCCUCACCAUCAUCCGCGACGGCCUCAAGACCGACGCCAGCAAGUACCGCAAGAUGAAGGAGAGGCUCGUCGGUGUCUCCGAGGAGACCACCACCGGCGUCAAGAGGCUCUACCAGAUGCAGGAGUCCGGCACCCUCCUCUUCCCCGCCAUCAACGUCAACGACUCCGUCACCAAGAGCAAGGUAUACCUCCUUCCCUGGUUCCCAUUUUUCCAUUUCAGAUCUGAUGCUCCGUGUCAGCGAGUUUCUACUUGCCAGUAGUUUUGUUGCAGUACAUGUUUAUGUUGUAGAUCCGAUAUUUUAAUAUUUAGAUCUCGUUGUUGCCGCUUAGGUGCUGCUUCAUGGUGAAGCAGCGGUGGAGUACUAGACUUGGAUCUGUAUCAUUGUCUUCAGGUUUAGUGUUUAUUACGCUAGUUGUGUACUAACUAAUCAUAACAUUAGUCAACAUGUCUCCUGGAUCUGAUGACCAGGGAUGGUCUAAAUAUAGAAUACUCUGCUUACAGAAUUUCACUACACUUAUUUGGGCAUGAAGAACUAUAUUAUGCACUGAAUUAUGUGAUAUGUUCUGUGUAGUUGUUUGUUUAGUUAGUGUACUAUUGCUCUGUUUCUAUCAAAAGGUAGAAUGCAAUGGCAUCUUCACCAUGCUAACAAUUACAGUACUAAUCUAUGUUGUUUUAAAAUAGCAAACACUAACCAUGUUUCUUCUCAACAGUUUGACAACCUUUACGGUUGCCGUCACUCUCUCCCUGACGGUCUCAUGAGGGCCACUGAUGUUAUGAUCGCCGGUAAGGUCGCCGUGGUCUGCGGUUAUGGUGAUGUUGGCAAGGGCUGUGCCGCCGCACUCAAGCAGGCUGGUGCCCGUGUGAUCGUGACAGAGAUCGACCCCAUCUGUGCUCUUCAGGCCCUGAUGGAGGGCAUCCAGAUCCUCACCUUGGAGGAUGUUGUCUCUGAGGCUGAUAUCUUUGUGACCACCACCGGAAACAAGGACAUCAUCAUGGUUGACCACAUGAGGAAGAUGAAGAACAACGCCAUUGUCUGCAACAUUGGUCACUUUGACAACGAGAUCGACAUGAACGGCCUUGAGACCUACCCCGGUGUCAUGCGCAUCACCAUCAAGCCCCAGACUGACCGCUGGGUCUUCCCUGAGACCAAGACCGGCAUCAUUGUU
This 1503-nucleotide long non-coding RNA is filed under the name Hordeum vulgare. Its description in RNAcentral is "long non-coding RNA (HVUL_LNC005704)". Lineage: Eukaryota; Viridiplantae; Streptophyta; Magnoliopsida; Poales; Poaceae. The record is from RNAcentral.